Molecule: ribosomal RNA, 301 nt
Filed under: uncultured bacterium
Lineage: Bacteria
Description: partial 16S ribosomal RNA
Rfam family: Bacterial small subunit ribosomal RNA
Source: RNAcentral
CAGUAGCCGCGGUAAUGCGGAGGGUGCAAGCGUUAAUCGGAAUUACUGGGCGUAAAGCGCACGCAGGCGGUUUGUUAAGUCAGAUGUGAAAUCCCCGAGCUUAACUUGGGAACUGCAUUUGAAACUGGCAAGCUAGAGUCUUGUAGAGGGGGGUAGAAUUCCAGGUGUAGCGGUGAAAUGCGUAGAGAUCUGGAGGAAUACCGGUGGCGAAGGCGGCCCCCUGGACAAAGACUGACGCUCAGGUGCGAAAGCGUGGGGAGCAAACAGGAUUAGAUACCCGCGUAGUCCCUGUCUCUUAUAC